AGCAAACAAAAAUCAUCAUCAUAACUUCAAACAGUCAUAUCUCAUUCAAUUUUGCACGAAAUCUCAUGGUUCAAAGCUCAGAAUACUCAGCAUAAAAAGAUCAACAACAAUAGCAUAAUAGAUUUCAAAAUUAGGAGAUUCGAUUCAUGACCUCUUGAAGAGCAGAAAUGGAAUUCGUGUGGUUUAAGGCUUUGUGAUGCUUUA
RNAcentral lists this long non-coding RNA (204 nucleotides) under Lathyrus oleraceus (garden pea). RNAcentral's name for it is "Pisum sativum (pea) long non-coding RNA (PSAT_LNC036299)". Lineage: Eukaryota; Viridiplantae; Streptophyta; Magnoliopsida; Fabales; Fabaceae. The record is from RNAcentral.